CCUACGGGAGGCAGCAGUGAGGAAUAUUGGUCAAUGGACGAGAGUCUGAACCAGCCAAGUAGCGUGAAGGAUGACUGCCCUAUGGGUGGUAAACUUCUUUUAUAUGGGAAUAAAAUGUUCCACGUGUGGGAUUUUGUAUGUACCAUAUGAAUAAGGAUCGGCUAACCCCGCGCCAGCAGCCGCGGUAAUACGGAGGAUCCGAGCGUUAUCCGGAUUUAUUGGGUUGGAAGGGAGCGUCGGGGGAUUGUUAAGUCAGUUGUGAAAGUUUGCGGCUGAACCGUAAAAUUGCAGUUGAAACUGGCAGUCUUGAGUACAGUAGAGGUGGGCGGAAUUCGUGGUGUAGCAGUGAAAUGCUUAGAUAUCACGAAGAACUCCGAUUGCGAAGGCAGCUCACUGGACUGCAACUGACACUGAGGCUCGAAAGUGUGGGUAUCAAACAGGAUUAGAUACCCCUGUAGUC
This 460-nucleotide ribosomal RNA is filed under the name uncultured bacterium. Its description in RNAcentral is "partial 16S ribosomal RNA". It matches the Rfam family "Bacterial small subunit ribosomal RNA", at positions 338 to 795 of the family's 1533-position model. The record is from RNAcentral.